AAUUCCUUUAAGAUUUCCAGUUUCUCUUUCCUCUCACACUGUUUUUUACCAGUACGAACUCAAGUGGAGCUUGGGUUUGGUUCAAUCAGUGGAGCUUGCGACCCCAAAUUCUUUGGCCCGCAGUGAAGAGGCUUUUAAAGGCCUUUGUAUUAAAGGAUUUGAGGAUCGUUAAUGGCAUGUUGUGUCUAUGGAGGGCUAUAGUAUAAUUACAAUUCCAAUGUCACAGAAGCUGAAAUGGAGUUCACUGUACAGAAGCUGCCAACGGAAUUUUGUGUCCAAAAUACUCUCUACUGGCAAUGACAAACAUUUGGGUCAGUAAUGAGCUUGAGGCAGGACAUCCAUUUUGUGAUAUUAAUGGUAACAGAUCAUAGAGAACACAUAUCUUGAAGAGCUAAGGGAAAAUAGAGAGGAAUAGAUGUUGCC
This is a long non-coding RNA of Quercus lobata, 423 nucleotides long. RefSeq lists it as uncharacterized. The transcript is spliced from 4 exons. The record is from RefSeq and is a predicted model, not a curated record. NCBI's taxonomy places the organism in Eukaryota, Viridiplantae, Streptophyta, Magnoliopsida, Fagales, Fagaceae.